Molecule: ribosomal RNA, 606 nt
Filed under: uncultured bacterium
Lineage: Bacteria
Description: bacterial SSU rRNA
Rfam family: Bacterial small subunit ribosomal RNA
Source: RNAcentral
GCUAGUUGGUAAGGUAACGGCUUACCAAGGCAACGAUGGAUAGGGGUUCUGAGAGGAUACACCCCCACACUGGAACUGAGACACGGUCCAGACUCCUACGGGAGGCAGCAGUAAGGAAUAUUGGGCAAUGGAGGCAACUCUGACCCAGCCAUGCCGCGUGCAGGAAGACAGUCUUAUGGAUUGUAAACUGCUUUUAAUAGGGAAUAAUUUCGAUUAUGUAUAGUUGAUUGCAGGUACCUAUAGAAUCAGCAUCGGCUAACUCCGUGCCAGCAGCCGCGGUAAUACGGAGGAUGCAAGCGUUAUCCGGAUUUAUUGGGUUUAAAGGGUGCGCAGGCGGACUAAUAAGUCAGUGGUGAAAUUUACAUGCUCAACAUGUAGCGUGCCAUUGAUACUGUUGGACUAGUAUACAAAUGACGUAGCUGGAAUGUGUUAUGUAGCGGUGAAAUGCAUAGAUAUAACACAGAACACCGAUCGUGAAGACAGGUUACGAAUUUGUUAUAGACGCUCAUGCACGAAAGCGUGGGGAUCAAACAGGAUUAGAUACCCUGGUAGUCCACGCUGUAAACGAUGAUAACUUGUUGUCGGGCAUUUCAUGCUCGGUGGCUA